Molecule: unclassified non-coding RNA, 232 nt
Filed under: Hevea brasiliensis (rubber tree)
Lineage: Eukaryota; Viridiplantae; Streptophyta; Magnoliopsida; Malpighiales; Euphorbiaceae
Source: RNAcentral
GGAGCAACCCCAUUCCCUCCUUCAGCAGGCAAGACAGGGAGCACAGUCACACUUCCUGUCUCCAAGUCAACAAUCAUAGGAGCAGAUGAAAGGGGGCACACCAAGCAAAUAGAUGGAGUAGUGGACCUAGGAUAUAGGCGAGCUUGUAAAGGGGUUUGCUGUAGAGUGAUCCGAGUAAUCUUCUCUCCUCUGACAACAUCCCAGAGUGACAAGGACUUAUCAGCAGCGGAGA